CAGCUAUGAGGACACCAGUGCAAUAGGGGGGAAAAUUAAAGUGACUGGCAUCAGGGUAAGUGCCAGGAGACAGCUUUCUCCUGGACAAAACCUCAGAGGCCAGGCAGCAGCACUGUCCCCUCUCUGAGCCCAACCCCACACAGAGCCACAGAACAGCCACAUA
Phyllostomus discolor (pale spear-nosed bat) is the source of this 163-nucleotide long non-coding RNA. RefSeq lists it as uncharacterized. The transcript is spliced from 3 exons. NCBI's taxonomy places the organism in Eukaryota, Metazoa, Chordata, Mammalia, Chiroptera, Phyllostomidae. The record is from RefSeq and is a predicted model, not a curated record.